UAGUUAAGGGUGAGGUAAGAGUUUUUCUUGAGGUGGUUGGAUCUUGCCUGCCUUCGGCUCAAAGUGGUCUUCAUACCAAAGUGCCCCAUUCUGGGGAGACUCAUUCCGAACCACAUCAGGCUCACAUUCCUGCCUGUCUUUUGUCCUCACUUGGUAACAAAAACCACUUAAAGUAACUCCAUCAGCUUUUGCCUCUUUUGCUCUGACUCAGUUUAAUUAGUCUCUCUCAAAACUUCUAAGUUCAGUUCAGUAAACCCAACUUGUGUCCAAUGUUCUAGGAAUCAAAAGGUAUCUAGGAGGGAAGGAUUUCCUCAAGUAUCUUAAAUUUGAAGAGUGACGAUGUCAAUGCCUUCUGGGAUUCUAACUUUUAAAGGAAGAGAUGAAAUGAAACCACAACAAAAAAUAACACUCAUAAAUCUAAUAUUACAUUAAAAAUGUAAGAGUGGUCUAAACAUUUGGAAAAAUAAUCACAGCAAGGACAUUAAUUUCCACCUGCAGAAAGUAGAAUAUUGCCCCCCCACCCCUGCCCCCACCAAGAUGUCCAUGUCAUAAGCCUCAUAACUUGUGAAUAUAUAUUACCUUGCCUGGCAAAAGAUACUUUGCAGAUGGGAUAAAUCAGGGAUCUUGAAAUAGGAAGAUUAUCUGUGGCUAUUCAGAUGGACUUAAGGUGAUUACAGAGGGCUUUCUGAGAGGGUUGGAGUCAGAGAGAGAGUUGGAAAGGCCACACUGCUGACUUUGAACAGGGAAGAAAGGGACCCGAGCCAAGAGAUUUAGGCAUUCUCUAAAAUAUGGAAAGGCCAGGAAAUGGAUUCUCCCUUAGAGUUUCCAGAAGGAAUGCAACCCUACUGACACCUUGAUGUGAGCCCAGAGAGACUUCUGAUCUGCAGCACUCUCAGAUAGAAAAUGUAUGUUGUUCUGAGUCGGUUUGUGUCUGAAGCAAGCGGAAACAAAUACUCUAUUCAAGAAAACCUUCAGAGAGAACCUGGCAUUUAGGUUAAGCUUUCCACAGGUAGAAUGGAGGCAAAAAGCCUGCCACAAAGGUGGAGACCAUAAUUACUGCUACUGAAAGAGGAUAUUUUACUAUAGCCCAAAUAAUACAGCAUGAAUGAUAGUAGCGAUUGAUGGGAAUUUGUAGAUAAAAUCUACCUAGUGUUAAUUUUUUAAAUUUCCACUUACUCAGUGGAAAGCCAUUAAAGACUGAGAUGUACAUUCACCCACCCAUGCCUACACCCACACUUUCACCCACAGAUGCAAAUAUGCAAAUAUAUGCAAACAUAGGCAAACUGUUGCAUGACCUACUUAUGACCUCCCUAGUGCCAGGGUGAGCAUUUGAUCAUUGGUCUCCUUUGCUAUCAUUACAAGUCAUUCAGCAAUUGUCAUAAUUUUUGCAUAGUUAUUAUUGUUUCCGUUGUUAUCUUACAACUGAAUCCUUUCAGGUAAUGCUAGUGAAAGUUGCUUGAAAACGGUCAUCCAAAUUCUAGGAAUUGCCUUCAAUACCUGGGGUGAUAUGGGAAAGAGACAGAAGUGUAAAUAUUUUAUGUGUAUAACAUUGCUACGUGAUUUUCUUUUAUUUUUGCUUUAUUUUCCUCAUGUGUAGAAUGAGGCUAAUAAAUACUAUCUCAGAUGCUUAUUGUAGGCACUAAAAGAUACAGUUCACUGAUAUCACCUAGGGGAGAAAAGACGGAAAGAAACAGUUCCCAGUAUUUAUUAAGUGCAUAUUAAUGCCAUUAUUUAUAUUGUGUUUAUUUCUCAACAGAAUAUAUUUUUGAUAAAAUUUACCCUCUAAUUUCCCUAAUAAACUUUCUAAAGUACAGAAAAAUGAGAGAAUUGCUGAUUAGGGAAAUGCUGGUAUCUGUUUACAAAUUGACAUUUAAUUUUAUGGUAGAAACUUCAUCUUAGUAAGCAAAAAAAAAAAUCAUUUGUAAACAAAAAGUUGCAGAUUUUUUCUGUUGGAAGGAAUUGAUCUUGGGUCACUACAACUUUCUUAUCCCUACCAUAUGUUGAUUUAGAAAAAAAAGGAAUUGCCAAUUAAACAGAAAUUAUUUUCCCUUGAUAAGACUAUAAUGGUAUAUUUUAAAAUAUGAAUUUUUAACUACAUUGCCAACAACAACGAAGAUAAACGUUCCAAAUUGCUAGACAGUUCUGAACAAUUCUACAAAAUGGUUUAGUUAGCACUCUGAACUUUCCAGAAGAAUGACUGACAAAUUUUAUCCAGACUAGUAGAAAUGUUUUGCCUCUCAUUUAGUACACGGAUGAAAAAGGAAUGGAGAUUUAGCUAGGAUGACCUAAAAGAGAGAGAAUUAAGAAGAGACAAUUUUGAAUCUGUGUCGGCAUAAAACAUGACAUGAGAGCAGGGGGAGUUCUAAUUCUAUUAAAUACAGUGUCUUCAGAGAGAAAAUUGAACUGGUCAAGACUCAUCAGAUAGUAUUAAGUGAAAGAAGAUGGCUAAUGGCAUGUCACAGAGAUCGAUGGGUGGCCCACCUCUGCCCAGCUAUCUGCAUGGCUUCCCCUCACAAUGGACAGAUGUGUAAAUCACAGGAAAUUGGAAAGAAUAGUCAAGUUCCUUUAAAAUGGCAACAUAACGCCUCUCUUUGUAAGCUUUUCAGCUUAUAGCAAUGAUUUUAUAAAAUAAAGGAAUUUAACAUCCUGUUUGCAUAAAUCGUUGUAAUACAAAUGCUCCAUUAUGACAACAGAUUUAAUAUUGACCCAUUACUUUGUAUUCAAACUUCCUCAAGUUAAUGCAAUCUCAUGUGGCAAUACUAGAUAUUAACAUAUAGGUUAGCCAUUUACUGUUAGAAAGCUGCUAUUAUUAAAAUGCUUUUAAUUUUAUUGUAUCAUUAUAUUCUUGCAAUAACUUCUAAAGAUGGCAACAUUACUACUGUUCUAAGACUGAAUUUUAGGAAGCUUGUUACUGGCUGACAUUCAUGCCGCUAAGAUAAUAGCAGAGUCGAGAUUCUAAUCUUUGUCUCAUCUUAGAGUUUAAGAUUUUUAACAGCAAUAUACCGGUACACAUGUAUACACAAAGCCUAUCCAAUAUAUGCAUGUUUAUAUGUAGGCAGGCAUGUAUGUAUGGAUGUAUGGAUGUCUUCAUGUAUCUUUGUAUCUAUCUACCUCUCUACCUGUCUAUACCUACACUCUUGGUUGGAAUCAUACUUAUGAUCUUAUAGAAUUGUCCCCUCUCCAGAGUCAUUUGAGGAAGUGAUAGGCGCUAUUCUUCAGGUGAGAAUAGAGUGGCCUUGGACAAGGAGAGCGCUCGGGGAAUAGGGAAAAGCAGGAGGAAAGAAAAAUCGCUAAGCUUUGUUUCCACUAUGAGGAGGUAAAAAGAACCAAGGUUGCAAUUUAAAGUCCCAUGUAUCUUUCAAAGCAUUCUAAGAGGCACAUUAAGCCAAAGUGAGGAAUUGAUAUGGGAUCUUACUGAAGGAGUCAGAAUUUCCAGAUUGAGGGAAAUAAGCUCCUAAACUGACACUCGGUUCUUUGGAUAUGACAAAAUCUCAUUCUUCGCCCCUGACACAAAACAUUCUUUUUAAAUACAAGGCAGUUUUCCUAAAAAUGCAGUUGUAAUUUUUUUUCAAAUAAGUUCUAUAUAAGUAUACUUAGGUCUAUGAAUAUACAUCGAUACAUAGCUCUGUAAUACAGAUCCAUAAAUUCCCUGUAACGCAGAGACUUUGUGAUGAAUGGAGUGAUGAGACAAAAAGACACCACAAAUCCGAUAGUGACAGCUUUGGGUUCAAAUCCUAAUUCUUAAUGAGAAUUAGCAUUUUCAUUAUGAAAAUGAAAAUAGUAUUACAUACCUUUUAGAUUAUGAAAAGGUAAAAUUAUUAAAACAUAGAUAAAGUCCCACAGUGAUGAUAGGUCUUAUUAUGACUAAAAGUUUUGUUGUUCGAAUCAUAUAGGGUUUCAGGUGAUAAGGGGAAAGAGAUACAGUGUUUCUUUGUCUAAGUUAAGACUUUGCAGCAAAAGAUGAUUAUUUAAAGUUACCCAGAGGUGAAUGAAGUAACGGCAUCUAUGGAAUGUGAGCUUCUAUCAGUGCAUGCGUUAAAUUACCUCUGACUUCUGUUGUGAUUUGAAUUAAUAUACAACAGCAUCUAUCUCUGAACCUGACUCAUCCUGCACAGACAAUGUUUUGUAAUUAAAUAUACAUCUGAAUUUAUUAGCCAUAUGCAAUAUCCUGGCUUAAAAGUACAGGCUUCUACCUGUGGCUACAAAGACAAAUACAAUGUUAUUCAUAUUCUCUGUCAGAAUAUUGAACAGAGAUAAGUGAGAUUCAAUUUGGCAACUAAAUGCAUUGUGUUAAGUAUUACAAUAAAGAUAAGCAUAAAAUUAUGUGGGGGCAGCCAACCUUAACCAUUGAAAAAAAUAGACUAUCCUUAUCCUAAGACCAUGUUAUUCCAUAAAAUUCUGCAUUGCCCCCACAUUUACUCAGAAUUAAAGCCAAAAUCCUUACAGUAGCCUAUAUACCCACAUAUAGUUGUUUCCUCUAUACAGUUUUAUGAUGUCUAACUCCUACUCUUCCCUCUAAUCACACCAAUCCAACUUUUUGGCCAUUCCCCAUACACGGCGAGGCAUGUGCAUUCCUAUCUUAGCUAAAUGCACAGGCUUCCUUCUCUGCCUAGACCACUCCUCCUUUGAGACCCACUGGUUCAUCCUCUCAACUCCUUCGAAUCUUUAUGCACAUGUCACCUUCUCAGUGAGACCUCCUCUGAUCACCCUGUUGAAAACUUCUAUCCAUCCACCUCCCUCACCACUUCCUAUCCCUUACCUCCUCUGCCCUUCUGAUCUUCUCACAGACUUUUGAAUAUUCUUAUUUUCAUGCUUAUUUUCCUUCUUCCUCAUUAGAAUAUAAAACUCAGGAAGACAGGAAUUUUUGUUUUGUUCAUUGCAGUGUUCUAAUGUUUAUAAUGGUACCUGGUACUGAGUAGAUAUUGAAUUAAUAUUUUUAGAAUACAUGGAAUAACUAUGUUGGUUGUCAAAGUUAAGUACAGCUUCAUAGAGAGGAUUAAAAUGCAUGGGGCUCUUAUGAAUGAAAAAGAGUAUUGACCAGUUAAAGAAAGAAAUGCUUUCAAACAGGAAAAAAAGUAACAUAAAUAUAUGAUGUCUUUGGUUGGAGAUUAGGUGUUUUUGGGGGGAAGUACCAUUAAAAAACAAAUCAGACUAGAAAGUUAAUACAGUAUCUUAUACAUCAAGUUAGGGAGCUAAAUUUUUAUCUUGAGGGAUUUUUAAAGGUUUUAAGCAGAAGUUGUAUGAGAUCCAUCUUUAACUAUCUUCCUUGGGACAUUCCUGAAAUGAUAACCCUUGAGAAGAUAGUGAUGACUGAAACUAGAUUAGUGCUGGUGAAGAUGAAGAGAAGUUGAUAGGAUUAAACAACCUUUCUGAUAGAGACUGGACAGAUUUUUUGUAAUUGAAUGGAUACAG
This 5412-nucleotide long non-coding RNA is filed under the name Sus scrofa (pig). Its description in RNAcentral is "lncRNA (ENSSSCG00000063418.1)". Lineage: Eukaryota; Metazoa; Chordata; Mammalia; Artiodactyla; Suidae. The record is from RNAcentral.